RNAcentral lists this ribosomal RNA (209 nucleotides) under Salmonella sp. ZKC20. RNAcentral's name for it is "partial 16S ribosomal RNA". It matches the Rfam family "Bacterial small subunit ribosomal RNA", at positions 915 to 1123 of the family's 1533-position model. Lineage: Bacteria; Pseudomonadati; Pseudomonadota; Gammaproteobacteria; Enterobacterales; Enterobacteriaceae. The record is from RNAcentral.
GGGGGCCCGCACAAGCGGUGGAGCAUGUGGUUUAAUUCGAUGCAACGCGAAGAACCUUACCUGGUCUUGACAUCCACAGAACUUUCCAGAGAUGCAUUGGUGCCUUCGGGAACUGUGAGACAGGUGCUGCAUGGCUGUCGUCAGCUCGUGUUGUGAAAUGUUGGGUUAAGUCCCGCAACGAGCGCAACCCUUAUCCUUCGUGAACCUUG